GAAAGAGUUACAUAAGAAGACUCCCCUUGCACGUAAAGAAAAAUGCAAUUAUUUUCUAUUCUGAAUCUCCAGACUGCUGUUUUAGAAAAUCAUAUCUGAUUAUUUGCUCAGCAGAAGAUUAUUGAGUUGAUUUAGCUGUGAUUUUACUUAACAAAGCUUCAACUGCAUUCCUACUGUGGAGUCCGAAAAAGGUAGAGAGAUAUAAAUGAUACAUUCAAACUGUGAUUUUUGUGAACAGGGCCAUCGAUGCACCCCUCGGAGCUAAUAGCGGAGAUGAGAAACAGUGGGUUUGCACUGAAACGAAAUGUACUGGGGAGAAACUUGACCGCAAAUGAUCCAUCACAGGAGUAUGUUGCAAGUGAGGGUGAAGAAGAUCCAGAAGUUGAAUUUUUAAAGUCACUAACAACCAAACAAAAACAGAAACUUCUCAGGAAAUUAGAUCGACUGGAGAAGAAAAAAAAGAAAAAAG
RNAcentral lists this small RNA (469 nucleotides) under Pongo abelii (Sumatran orangutan). RNAcentral's name for it is "retained intron". The record is from RNAcentral. Lineage: Eukaryota; Metazoa; Chordata; Mammalia; Primates; Hominidae.